AUUGAACGCUGGCGGCGUGCUUAACACAUGCAAGUCGUGCGGUAACAGGCGUAGCAAUACGUGCUGACGAGCGGCGAACGGGUGCGUAAUACAUGGGAAUCUGCCCUUUAGUGGGGAAUAACCCGGCGAAAGCCGGGCUAAUGCCGCAUAAGAUCUUCGGAUGAAAGCGGGGGAUCGUAAGACCUCGCGCUGAUGGAUGAGCCCAUGUCGGAUUAGCUAGNGGUGAGGUAACGGCUCACCAAGGCGACGAUCCGUAGCUGGUCUGAGAGGACGGCCAGGCCACACUGGGACUGAGACACGGCCCAGACUCCUACGGGAGGCAGCAGUGGGAAUAUUGGACAAUGGGGAAACCUGAUCCAGCGACGCCGCGUGUGUGAAGAAGGCCU
Molecule: ribosomal RNA, 386 nt
Filed under: uncultured bacterium
Lineage: Bacteria
Description: bacterial SSU rRNA
Rfam family: Bacterial small subunit ribosomal RNA
Source: RNAcentral